This 256-nucleotide ribosomal RNA is filed under the name uncultured microorganism. RNAcentral describes it as "partial 16S ribosomal RNA". It matches the Rfam family "Bacterial small subunit ribosomal RNA", at positions 9 to 261 of the family's 1533-position model. The record is from RNAcentral.
GAGUUUGAUCUUGGCUCAGAUUGAACGCUGGCGGCAUGCCUAACACAUGCAAGUCGAACGGCAGCACUGGGAGCUUGCUCCCUGGUGGCGAGUGGCGGACGGGUGAGUAACGCGUAGGAAUCUGCCUCAUAGCGGGGGACAACUCGGGAAACUCGAGCUAAUACCGCAUACUACUCGAGAGAGGAAAGCAGGGGACCGUUCGGGCCGUUGCACUAUGAGAUGAGCCUGCGUUGGAUUAGCUAGUUGGUAGGGUAAA